Molecule: ribosomal RNA, 253 nt
Filed under: uncultured bacterium
Lineage: Bacteria
Description: partial 16S ribosomal RNA
Rfam family: Bacterial small subunit ribosomal RNA
Source: RNAcentral
UACAGAGGGGGCAAGCGUUAUUCGGGAUUAUUGGGCGUAAAGGGCGCGUAGGCGGCCAUUCAAGUGACGGGUGAAAGCCCUCGGCUUAACCGAGGAACUGCCUGUCAGACUGGAUGGCUUGAGACCGGGAGAGGUGAGUGGAAUUCCCAGUGUAGCGGUGAAAUGCGUAGAUAUUGGGAGGAACACCAGUGGCGAAGGCGGCUCACUGGACCGGAACUGACGCUGAGGCGCGAAAGCGUGGGGAGCAAACAGG